This 2888-nucleotide ribosomal RNA is filed under the name Escherichia coli. RNAcentral's name for it is "partial 23S ribosomal RNA". It matches the Rfam family "Bacterial large subunit ribosomal RNA". Lineage: Bacteria; Pseudomonadati; Pseudomonadota; Gammaproteobacteria; Enterobacterales; Enterobacteriaceae. The record is from RNAcentral.
GGGUUGUGAGGUUAAGCGACUAAGCGUACACGGUGGAUGCCCUGGCAGUCAGAGGCGAUGAAGGACGUGCUAAUCUGCGAUAAGCGUCGGUGAGGUGAUAUGAACCGUUAUAACCGGCGAUUUCCGAAUGGGGAAACCCAGUGUGAUUCGUCACACUAUCAUUAACUGAAUCCAUAGGUUAAUGAGGCGAACCGGGGGAACUGAAACAUCUAAGUACCCCGAGGAAAAGAAAUCAACCGAGAUUCCCCCAGUAGCGGCGAGCGAACGGGGAGGAGCCCAGAGCCUGAAUCAGUGUGUGUGUUAGUGGAAGCGUCUGGAAAGGCGUGCGAUACAGGGUGACAGCCCCGUACACAAAAAUGCACAUAUUGUGAGCUCGAUGAGUAGGGCGGGACACGUGGUAUCCUGUCUGAAUAUGGGGGGACCAUCCUCCAAGGCUAAAUACUCCUGACUGACCGAUAGUGAACCAGUACCGUGAGGGAAAGGCGAAAAGAACCCCGGCGAGGGGAGUGAAAAAGAACCUGAAACCGUGUACGUACAAGCAGUGGGAGCCUCUUAAUGGGGUGACUGCGUACCUUUUGUAUAAUGGGUCAGCGACUUAUAUUCUGUAGCAAGGUUAACCGAAUAGGGGAGCCGAAGGGAAACCGAGUCUUAACUGGGCGUUAAGUUGCAGGGUAUAGACCCGAAACCCGGUGAUCUAGCCAUGGGCAGGUUGAAGGUUGGGUAACACUAACUGGAGGACCGAACCGACUAAUGUUGAAAAAUUAGCGGAUGACUUGUGGCUGGGGGUGAAAGGCCAAUCAAACCGGGAGAUAGCUGGUUCUCCCCGAAAGCUAUUUAGGUAGCGCCUCGUGAAUUCAUCUCCGGGGGUAGAGCACUGUUUCGGCAAGGGGGUCAUCCCGACUUACCAACCCGAUGCAAACUGCGAAUACCGGAGAAUGUUAUCACGGGAGACACACGGCGGGUGCUAACGUCCGUCGUGAAGAGGGAAACAACCCAGACCGCCAGCUAAGGUCCCAAAGUCAUGGUUAAGUGGGAAACGAUGUGGGAAGGCCCAGACAGCCAGGAUGUUGGCUUAGAAGCAGCCAUCAUUUAAAGAAAGCGUAAUAGCUCACUGGUCGAGUCGGCCUGCGCGGAAGAUGUAACGGGGCUAAACCAUGCACCGAAGCUGCGGCAGCGACACUAUGUGUUGUUGGGUAGGGGAGCGUUCUGUAAGCCUGUGAAGGUGGCCUGUGAGGGUUGCUGGAGGUAUCAGAAGUGCGAAUGCUGACAUAAGUAACGAUAAAGCGGGUGAAAAACCCGCUCGCCGGAAGACCAAGGGUUCCUGUCCAACGUUAAUCGGGGCAGGGUGAGUCGACCCCUAAGGCGAGGCCGAAAGGCGUAGUCGAUGGGAAACAGGUUAAUAUUCCUGUACUUGGUGUUACUGCGAAGGGGGGACGGAGAAGGCUAUGUUGGCCGGGCGACGGUUGUCCCGGUUUAAGCGUGUAGGCUGGUUUUCCAGGCAAAUCCGGAAAAUCAAGGCUGAGGCGUGAUGACGAGGCACUACGGUGCUGAAGCGACAAAUGCCCUGCUUCCAGGAAAAGCCUCUAAGCAUCAGGUAACAUCAAAUCGUACCCCAAACCGACACAGGUGGUCAGGUAGAGAAUACCAAGGCGCUUGAGAGAACUCGGGUGAAGGAACUAGGCAAAAUGGUGCCGUAACUUCGGGAGAAGGCACGCUGAUAUGUAGGUGAAGCGACUUGCUCGUGGAGCUGAAAUCAGUCGAAGAUACCAGCUGGCUGCAACUGUUUAUUAAAAACACAGCACUGUGCAAACACGAAAGUGGACGUAUACGGUGUGACGCCUGCCCGGUGCCGGAAGGUUAAUUGAUGGGGUUAGCGGUAACGCGAAGCUCUUGAUCGAAGCCCCGGUAAACGGCGGCCGUAACUAUAACGGUCCUAAGGUAGCGAAAUUCCUUGUCGGGUAAGUUCCGACCUGCACGAAUGGCGUAAUGAUGGCCAGGCUGUCUCCACCCGAGACUCAGUGAAAUUGAACUCGCUGUGAAGAUGCAGUGUACCCGCGGCAAGACGGAAAGACCCCGUGAACCUUUACUAUAGCUUGACACUGAACAUUGAGCCUUGAUGUGUAGGAUAGGUGGGAGGCUUUGAAGUGUGGACGCCAGUCUGCAUGGAGCCGACCUUGAAAUACCACCCUUUAAUGUUUGAUGUUCUAACGUGGGCCCCUUACCGGGGUUGCGGACAGUGUCUGGUGGGUAGUUUGACUGGGGCGGUCUCCUCCUAAAGAGUAACGGAGGAGCACGAAGGUUGGCUAAUCCUGGUCGGACAUCAGGAGGUUAGUGCAAUGGCAUAAGCCAGCUUGACUGCGAGCGUGACGGCGCGAGCAGGUGCGAAAGCAGGUCAUAGUGAUCCGGUGGUUCUGAAUGGAAGGGCCAUCGCUCAACGGAUAAAAGGUACUCCGGGGAUAACAGGCUGAUACCGCCCAAGAGUUCAUAUCGACGGCGGUGUUUGGCACCUCGAUGUCGGCUCAUCACAUCCUGGGGCUGAAGUAGGUCCCAAGGGUAUGGCUGUUCGCCAUUUAAAGUGGUACGCGAGCUGGGUUUAGAACGUCGUGAGACAGUUCGGUCCCUAUCUGCCGUGGGCGCUGGAGAACUGAGGGGGGCUGCUCCUAGUACGAGAGGACCGGAGUGGACGCAUCACUGGUGUUCGGGUUGUCAUGCCAAUGGCACUGCCCGGUAGCUAAAUGCGGAAGAGAUAAGUGCUGAAAGCAUCUAAGCACGAAACUUGCCCCGAGAUGAGUUCUCCCUGACUCCUUGAGAGUCCUGAAGGAACGUUGAAGACGACGACGUUGAUAGGCCGGGUGUGUAAGCGCAGCGAUGCGUUGAGCUAACCGGUA